RNAcentral lists this long non-coding RNA (302 nucleotides) under Ananas comosus (pineapple). RNAcentral describes it as "long non-coding RNA (ACOM_LNC027466)". The record is from RNAcentral. Lineage: Eukaryota; Viridiplantae; Streptophyta; Magnoliopsida; Poales; Bromeliaceae.
UAAUUUAAACAAUAAUAGUGGUCCUUAUAAGAAGAAACUUUAACUCGUUGUACGUGUAUAUUGUUGGUGUGUGAGACCUAACAGAGAGUUACCGCUAGACGACUAGAGGAAGAGAGAGAUGUGGUUACUAUUUAACGAGCCUAUCCACUUAAAUAUGGACCACGUUACAGCGAAGUGGUCCUCAAUUGAUUUACACGGUUAUCCUUUAGAAUUUAGCUCUCGCUUUCGUCAGACACGUAAAAUGACUUCAUUCCUUCCCGCAAAAGAAAAAAGUUAAGGUAUAUGGUCAUAAGAAUAUCAUA